UGGAUUUACACCAAUCUCCUAAAACAGACAUGGAUAUCAGAGGCCACUCAAUGGUCUUACACUAAUCUCCUCAAAAGAACAAAACAAAAUGAAAUAUGGAAAUCAACUGCCAAUCUAUCUGGACUUAGGUUAAUUCCACAUAUGAUCAUAGGAAAGCAAAUGCCAACUUGCGGGACUUACAAUUGGAUCCUCUCAUAAACAAAGAAAGCAAAACAUGGAUGUCAGAUGCCAAUCUGUCUGGGCUUACUCUAACAUACACAGUAUGAUCCUAGGAAAACAAAUGCCAA
This 287-nucleotide long non-coding RNA is filed under the name Lathyrus oleraceus (garden pea). RNAcentral describes it as "Pisum sativum (pea) long non-coding RNA (PSAT_LNC018494)". The record is from RNAcentral. Lineage: Eukaryota; Viridiplantae; Streptophyta; Magnoliopsida; Fabales; Fabaceae.